RNAcentral lists this ribosomal RNA (484 nucleotides) under uncultured bacterium. Its description in RNAcentral is "partial 16S ribosomal RNA". It matches the Rfam family "Bacterial small subunit ribosomal RNA", at positions 30 to 507 of the family's 1533-position model. The record is from RNAcentral.
AUUGAACGCUGGCGGCAGGCCUAACACAUGCAAGUCGAGCGGAUGAAGGGAGCUUGCUCCUGGAUUCAGCGGCGGACGGGUGAGUAAGUCCUAGGAAUCUGCCUGGUAGUGGGGGGGAACGUCCGGAAACGGGCGCUAAUACCGUAUACGUUCUGAAGGAGAAAGUGGGGGAUCUUGGGAGCUCACGCCAUUAGCUGAACCGAGGGCGGAUUAGCUAGUUGGUGGGGUAAAGGCCUACCAAGGCGACGAUCCGGAACUGGUCUGAGAGGAUGAUCAGUCACACUGGAACUGAGACACGGUCCAGACUCCUACGGGAGGCAGCAGUGGGGAAUAUUGGACAAUGGGCGAAAGCCUGAUCCAGCCAUGCCGCGUGUGUGAAGAAGGUCUUCGGAUUGUAAAGCACUUUAAGUUGGGAGGACGGGCAGUAAGUUAAUACCUUGCUGUUUUGACGUUACCAACAGAAUAAGCACCGGCUAACUUCGUG